GAUGAACGCUGGCGGCGUGCCUAAUACAUGCAAGUCGAGCGAACGGACGAGAAGCUUGCUUCUCUGAUGUUAGCGGCGGACGGGUGAGUAACACGUGGAUAACCUACCUAUAAGACUGGGAUAACUUCGGGAAACCGGAGCUAAUACCGGAUAAUAUUUUGAACCGCAUGGUUCAAAAGUGAAAGACGGUCUUGCUGUCACUUAUAGAUGGAUCCGCGCUGCAUUAGCUAGUUGGUAAGGUAACGGCUUACCAAGGCAACGAUGCAUAGCCGACCUGAGAGGGUGAUCGGCCACACUGGAACUGAGACACGGUCCAGACUCCUACGGGAGGCAGCAGUAGGGAAUCUUCCGCAAAGGGCGAAAGCCUGACGGAGCAAAGACGCGUGAGUGAUGAAGGUCUUCGGAUCGUAAAACUCUGUUAUUAGGGAAGAACAUAUGUGUAAGUAACUGUGCACAUCUUGACGGUACCUAAUCAGAAAGCCACGGCUAACUACGUG
RNAcentral lists this ribosomal RNA (497 nucleotides) under uncultured bacterium. Its description in RNAcentral is "partial 16S ribosomal RNA". It matches the Rfam family "Bacterial small subunit ribosomal RNA", at positions 28 to 507 of the family's 1533-position model. The record is from RNAcentral.